RNAcentral lists this ribosomal RNA (492 nucleotides) under uncultured bacterium. RNAcentral describes it as "partial 16S ribosomal RNA". It matches the Rfam family "Bacterial small subunit ribosomal RNA", at positions 29 to 507 of the family's 1533-position model. The record is from RNAcentral.
AGUGAACGCUGGCGGUAGGCCUAACACAUGCAAGUCGAACGGCAGCACAUGUAUAGCUUGCUCUUACGGGUGGCGAGUGGUGGACGGGUGAGGAAUACAUCGGAAUCUAUUUGUGCGUGGGUGAUUACGUAGGGAAACUUACGCUAAUACCGCAUAUGUCCUGCGGGUGAAAGCAGGGGAUCUUCGGUCCGUUUGUUCGUGAAUGAGUGGAUGUCGGAUUAGCUAGUUGGCGGGGUAAAGGCCCACCAAGGCGACGAUCCGUAGCUGGUCUGAGAGGAUGAUCAGCCACACUGGAACUGAGACACGGUCCAGACUCCUACGGGAGCACGCAGUGGGCACACUUGGACAAUGGGCGCAAGCCUGAUCCAGCCAUACCGCGUGGGAGAAGAAGGAAUUCGGGUUGUAAAGCCCUUUUGUUGGGAAAGACAAAAAACAGGUUAAUACCCCGCUGUUCUGACGGUACCCAAAGAAUAAGCACCGGCUAACUUCGUG